AACUAGGUUGUAACCAGUUAAUGUGAUUCAGGAAAGGCUGUAAGGUGGAUAGAAGCUUUCCCUCUUUGCCUUGCUGCACAGGUUACUGUUUUUCCAGACCUCACAUGUGAGACCAGUUAACACAGGCUCAGCAAUUAGGCUGUGAAGUCACCUGAUUAAGUGAGGGGCAACAGCAGGUUUUGGGGCUGAUUGACUUCAGUAGGGCUGCAGCUAACAGCCUGAAACGCUACUUUCCCAGUUCUGCUGGGCUCCUUCUCUUGGACAAACCAGCACCAGCUUUUCAGCAAAGCAGGGAGUUCCUCUGGGGCCCAGUCCGAAGCACCGGUCUGGCAGCUGCGACGUACCAAUGCUUCCUGCUCCCGUGAGUCUCCUUCUGUUGUUUUUGCAGAAUUCCUGUGCUCGAAUGGUUUGGUUUUGGCAGAGGAUUUUUUCUCUUUUCUUUUUCCCUCCCUUUUUUUUUUGUUUUGUUUUGUUUUGAGGUGGCUUUGGGAGAAAUGAAGAGGGAAUUGCAGAUGAAGGGCUUCAGGAUUUGACUUGUCCCUUGUUCUCUCUGAGCAAGACCAGAGGCUUACAGAGACUAAGGGUAGUGAACAGAUCUGAAGUGUAGUCAUAUCCUGUCUUAGUUGGGUAAACACAUUCUGAUUCAGCGAGAGCUUUGUCUGAACAAGGACAGAAAAGUUGGGCCCUGAACAAGGAAAUAAUUUAUAUAAGUCUUAACGAAUAUUUAAUAUGGAGCAUUAAUUAAAAAAAGAGGAGUAUGUAUUUAUGUAUUUUGAUGUCCUGCCUUGGAGUGACAGAUCACUGGGUGUCUUCUUGGCCUGAGGAGGACCACCACCUGGCUGACUGCUCAUGUGUGUCGGUCCAAUGAGAGCAUCCUAUGGUAGCAGUACCCCUUUAAAGAAACAGCUAUAGAUGAAAAGGAGAUGCAUUUAUAGUGAAUUAUUGCUUUGAUUAAUACUUGGAUUGUCUAUUUAUCAACAUUGCUGUACUAUGGGAAAAGAAAGGCACUAAGUAAACAGAGCAGUAAGCAGAGGUUUCCAGGUGUUUGUUACAUAAACACAACUAUUAAGAUAAUAUAACUACAUGUAAAUGCAGAAAUCUUUAACAUUUUGUGCACUGCAGUGACAUUUAUUUGAGGGUAGGUGGUUUUGCUGAGGUGCUGCUCUAAGUCCUUCCAUCCUCUUGCGCCGUUCCCAUCUCCCAUACAGGGCCAACAGGGCAGCUGUGCAGUGCAGGGGCUGCACAUGCAGCGUGUUCCAGCCAUAAAAACAUCUCAUUCUAUGCACUGACACAGAAACAGAGGUGAAUUUCCUGGGUGCAGUCAUAAUGCCAGCAAUGAAUAUGUUGUAAACUGACUUUUCUUGUAGCAGUGAAAGCAUUUGAGAAUAAACCACAUUUGCUUUCAAGGAGAGUUUUUAAA
This 1420-nucleotide long non-coding RNA is filed under the name Coturnix japonica (Japanese quail). RNAcentral's name for it is "lncRNA (ENSCJPG00005007241.1)". Lineage: Eukaryota; Metazoa; Chordata; Aves; Galliformes; Phasianidae. The record is from RNAcentral.